AGUUUGAUCAUGGCUCAGAUUGAACGCUGGCGGCAUGCCUUACACAUGCAAGGUCGAACGGCAGCACGGGAGCUUGCUCCUGGUGGCGAGUGGCGAACGGGUGAGUAAUACAUCGGAACGUACCCUGAAGUGGGGGAUAACGUAGCGAAAGUUACGCUAAUACCGCAUAUUCUGUGAGCAGGAAAGAGGGGGAUCGCAAGACCUCUUGCUUUAGGAGCGGCCGAUGUCGGAUUAGCUAGUUGGUGAGGUAAAGGCUCACCAAGGCGACGAUCCGUAGCGGGUCUGAGAGGAUGAUCCGCCACACUGGGACUGAGACACGGCCCAGACUCCUACGGGAGGCAGCAGUGGGGAAUUUUGGACAAUGGGCGCAAGCCUGAUCCAGCCAUGCCGCGUGAGUGAAGAAGGCCUUCGGGUUGUAAAGCUCUUUCGGUGGGGAAGAAAUUGCUUCGGUUAAUACCUGGAGUAGAUGACGGUACCCGCAUAAGAAGCACCGGCUAACUACGUG
This 505-nucleotide ribosomal RNA is filed under the name uncultured bacterium. Its description in RNAcentral is "bacterial SSU rRNA". It matches the Rfam family "Bacterial small subunit ribosomal RNA", at positions 10 to 507 of the family's 1533-position model. The record is from RNAcentral.